CAAUGAAGGUAGCAUGGUACUGUGCACGAAUAUUAAGCAACUUUUAGGUCGUCAUGUCUGCCCCCACUGAUUUCUCUCAUGAUUUGGGGGCCUGGACUAGACCUACAUAA
This is a small nucleolar RNA of Erigeron canadensis, 110 nucleotides long. RefSeq annotates it as small nucleolar RNA snoR100. Lineage: Eukaryota; Viridiplantae; Streptophyta; Magnoliopsida; Asterales; Asteraceae. The record is from RefSeq and is a predicted model, not a curated record. The transcript has a single exon.